AAUGGGCGCAAGCCUGAUCCAGCCAUUCCGCGUGCAGGAUGAAGGCCUUCGGGUUGUAAACUGCUUUUGUACGGAACGAAACGGUUCUCUCUAAUACAGGGGGCUAAUGACGGUACCGUAAGAAUAAGCACCGGCUAACUACGUGCCAGCAGCCGCGGUAAUACGUAGGGUGCAAGCGUUAAUCGGAAUUACUGGGCGUAAAGCGUGCGCAGGCGGUUUUGUAAGACAGAGGUGAAAUCCCCGGGCUCAACCUGGGAAUGGCGCUUGUGACUGCACGGCUAGAGUACGGCAGAGGGGGGUGGAAUUCCACGUGUAGCAGUGAAAUGCGUAGAGAUGUGGAGGAACACCGAUGGCGAAGGCAGCCCCCUGGGCCGAUACUGACGCUCAUGCACGAAAGCGUGGGGAGCAAA
Molecule: ribosomal RNA, 410 nt
Filed under: uncultured bacterium
Lineage: Bacteria
Description: bacterial SSU rRNA
Rfam family: Bacterial small subunit ribosomal RNA
Source: RNAcentral